AUUGAACGCUGGCGGCAGGCCUAACACAUGCAAGUCGAGCGGUAGCACAGAGAGCUUGCUCUCGGGUGACGAGCGGCGGACGGGUGAGUAAUGUCUGGGAAACUGCCUGAUGGAGGGGGAUAACUACUGGAAACGGUAGCUAAUACCGCAUAACGUCGCAAGACCAAAGUGGGGGACCUUCGGGCCUCAUGCCAUCAGAUGUGCCCAGAUGGGAUUAGCUAGUAGGUGGGGUAACGGCUCACCUAGGCGACGAUCCCUAGCUGGUCUGAGAGGAUGACCAGCCACACUGGAACUGAGACACGGUCCAGACUCCUACGGGAGGCAGCAGUGGGGAAUAUUGCACAAUGGGCGCAAGCCUGAUGCAGCCAUGCCGCGUGUGUGAAGAAGGCCUUCGGGUUGUAAAGCACUUUCAGCGGGGAGGAAGGCGGUGAGGUUAAUAACCUCAUCGAUUGACGUUACCCGCAGAAGAAGCACCGGCUAACUCCGUGCCAGCAGCCGCGGUAAUACGGAGGGUGCAAGCGUUAAUCGGAAUUACUGGGCGUAAAGCGCACGCAGGCGGUCUGUCAAGUCGGAUGUGAAAUCCCCGGGCUCAACCUGGGAACUGCAUUCGAAACUGGCAGGCUAGAGUCUUGUAGAGGGGGGUAGAAUUCCAGGUGUAGCGGUGAAAUGCGUAGAGAUCUGGAGGAAUACCGGUGGCGAAGGCGGCCCCCUGGACAAAGACUGACGCUCAGGUGCGAAAGCGUGGGGAGCAAACAGGAUUAGAUACCCUGGUAGUCCACUCCGUAAACGAUGUCGAUUUGGAGGUUGUGCCCUUGAGGCGUGGCUUCCGGAGCUAACGCGUUAAAUCGACCGCCUGGGGAGUACGGCCGCAAGGUUAAAACUCAAAUGAAUUGACGGGGGCCCGCACAAGCGGUGGAGCAUGUGGUUUAAUUCGAUGCAACGCGAAGAACCUUACCUGGUCUUGACAUCCACAGAACUUUCCAGAGAUGGAUUGGUGCCUUCGGGAACUGUGAGACAGGUGCUGCAUGGCUGUCGUCAGCUCGUGUUGUGAAAUGUUGGGUUAAGCCCCGCAACGAGCGCAACCCUUAUCCUUUGUUGCCAGCGGUCCGGCCGGGAACUCAAAGGAGACUGCCAGUGAUAGACUGGAGGAAGGUGGGGAUGACGUCAAGUCAUCAUGGCCCUUACGACCAGGGCUACACACGUGCUACAAUGGCAUAUACAAAGAGAAGCGACCUCGCGAGAGCAAGCGGACCUCAUAAAGUAUGUCGUAGUCCGGAUUGGAGUCUGCAACUCGACUCCAUGAAGUCGGAAUCGCUAGUAAUCGUAGAUCAGAAUGCUACGGUGAAUACGUUCCCGGGCCU
RNAcentral lists this ribosomal RNA (1361 nucleotides) under uncultured bacterium. RNAcentral describes it as "bacterial SSU rRNA". It matches the Rfam family "Bacterial small subunit ribosomal RNA", at positions 28 to 1381 of the family's 1533-position model. The record is from RNAcentral.